This 493-nucleotide ribosomal RNA is filed under the name uncultured bacterium. RNAcentral's name for it is "partial 16S ribosomal RNA". It matches the Rfam family "Bacterial small subunit ribosomal RNA", at positions 28 to 507 of the family's 1533-position model. The record is from RNAcentral.
GACGAACGCUGGCGGCGUGCUUAACACAUGCAAGUCGAACGGAAAGGCCUGCUUUCCCUUGUGGAUUGCGGGUACUCGAGUGGCGAACGGGUGAGUAACACGUGAGUGAUCUGCCCCCAACUUGGUUAUAAGCCUGGGAAACUGGGUCUAAUUCCCGAUAGGACUGCAGGGUGGUGCCUUUGGUGGAAAACUAUUUUCUAGUGGUUGGGAUGAGCUCGCGGCCUAUCAGCUUGUUGGUGGGGUAAUGGCCUACCAAGGCGGCGACGGGUAGCCGGCCUGAGAGGGGGGACGGCGGAACUGGGACUGGGAUCAGGCCCCGACGGCUAGGGGAGGCAGCAGAGGGGAAUAAAGGACCGGGGGCGGAGCGCUGCUGCAGCGAGGCAGCGGGGGGGAUGACGGGAUUGGGGUGGUAAGCUCCUUGGGAAGGCGAGGAAGCCACCUGGCUGGAAGGGUGGUGACGGUAGUGGUAGAAGAAGCACCGGCUAACUACGUG